This 674-nucleotide ribosomal RNA is filed under the name uncultured bacterium. Its description in RNAcentral is "bacterial SSU rRNA". It matches the Rfam family "Bacterial small subunit ribosomal RNA", at positions 102 to 807 of the family's 1533-position model. The record is from RNAcentral.
ACGGCUGAGUAACGCGUGGGAACGUGCCCCAAAGUGAGGAAUAACUGCCCGAAAGGGUAGCUAAUACCGCAUAUUAUCUUCGGAUCAAAGGAUUUAUCCGCUUUGGGAGCGGCCCGCGUCGGAUUAGGUAGUUGGUGAGGUAAUGGCUCACCGAGCCGACGAUCCGUAGCUGGUCUGAGAGGAUGACCAGCCAGACUGGAACUGAGACACGGUCCAGACUCCUACGGGAGGCAACAGUGAGGAAUCUUCCACAAUGGGCGAAAGCCUGAUGGAGCAACGCCGCGUGCAGGACGAAGGCCUUCGGGUUGUAAACUGCUUUUAUAAGUGAGGAAUAUGACGGUAACUUAUGAAUAAGGAUCGGCUAACUACGUGCCAGCAGCCGCGGUCAUACGUAGGAUCCGAGCGUUAUCCGGAGUGACUGGGCGUAAAGAGUUGCGUAGGCGGUUGUAUAAGUGAAUAGUGAAAUCUGGUGGCUCAACCAUACGGGCUAUUGUUCAAACUGUACAACUCGAGAGUGGUAGAGGUCACUGGAAUUUCUUGUGUAGGAGUGAAAUCCGUAGAUAUAAGAAGGAACACCGAUGGCGUAGGCAGGUGACUGGACCAUUUCUGACGCUAAGGCACGAAAGCGUGGGGAGCGAACCGGAUUAGAUACCCGGGUAGUCCACGCCGUAAAC